UUGGAAGCUCACUGGCUUCGGAGUCAUGGAAACUCCAAAAUUAAGCAAGUUUGGGCUAGAGCAAUCCCAAGAUGGGUGACCCACUGGGAAGUUGCUCGUGAGUUCCCAGA
RNAcentral lists this ribosomal RNA (110 nucleotides) under Prunus dulcis (almond). The record is from RNAcentral. Lineage: Eukaryota; Viridiplantae; Streptophyta; Magnoliopsida; Rosales; Rosaceae.